RNAcentral lists this long non-coding RNA (764 nucleotides) under Vulpes vulpes (red fox). RNAcentral's name for it is "lncRNA (ENSVVUG00000024276.1)". The record is from RNAcentral. Lineage: Eukaryota; Metazoa; Chordata; Mammalia; Carnivora; Canidae.
UUUUCUUUUUGUAAGGCAGCGUAUAGAACCUUCCAAGGCCCUGCAGGCCAAUGUAGAAUUGGGUGGGACCGUAGCCAGCCUGGUGUAAAUCUGCUCCCACAGCCCCCACCACACGGAGGGGGUGGUGAGCCCACAGCCUCUGCCACCCGGAGGGCCUGCCUCACCUCUGGCUGCAGGACUCCCUGUCCUGGGCUUGAGCGGGAGCUUUGCACUCAUUCUUGAUAAAGUUCCUCCAGGCAUAUCCUAUUCACACCCGUGACGUCAACAUUUUCUGCUGUCCCACUCGGGGCCAGCUCCAUCUUUGUACUAGGAGAGAUAGGGUGGUUAAGCCAGGGUCCCUGUUAUAAUUUCAUCUUGUGAGGGAGGCAGGGGGUUGCUACCUAGUGGAGGACAGAAGCCCAGAAGAAGGUGGGAACAAUGCUCUGGAAUGAAUCUUGUGGUCUGGUGGAUCCCAGCCCCCACCUCCUCAUGCUGUGCAGUUUGUCGAGCCUGCCCACCGCUGCUUCACCCCCACCCCCAGCAAGCUGACUGAGCAGAGCAGAAGCCACGGAGGGCAGGCUGGCGGAGACUCUCGCCUGCUGACCGACAGCCAGCAGCAAAUGGACUAGAACCAGCCAUUGAGGUCUACUCCACAGGAUCUCUCGGCUUCUCCCACGGCCACAUUCAUGUCCUUGGAUGGGGAGAGGAGCACAUAGCAGGUGUGGCACUCAUGCCAACCCCAGGAGACCUCCCUCCCAGCACUAAUGAUGACAGCCACAGGUGAG